UAUAGAGGGUGCAAGCGUUAAUCGGAAUUACUGGGCGUAAAGCGCGCGUAGGUGGUUUGUUAAGUUGAAUGUGAAAUCCCCGGGCUCAACCUGGGAACUGCAUGCAAAACUGGCAAGCUAGAGUAUGGUAGAGGGUGGUGGAAUUUCCUGUGUAGCGGUGAAAUGCGUAGAUAUAGGAAGGAACACCAGUGGCGAAGGCGACCACCUGGACUGAUACUGACACUGAGGUGCGAAAGCGUGGGGAGCAAACAGG
RNAcentral lists this ribosomal RNA (253 nucleotides) under uncultured bacterium. RNAcentral's name for it is "partial 16S ribosomal RNA". It matches the Rfam family "Bacterial small subunit ribosomal RNA", at positions 524 to 776 of the family's 1533-position model. The record is from RNAcentral.